AUGUUCUCUGUCGCUUUGCUGCUGUUGCUGGCUGCUGGAGCCUGUGUGAAGUGUCAGCAGCUGACACAGCCAGCCUCUGUGACUGUGCAGCCAGGUCAGAGUCUGACCAUCAGCUGUCAGGUCUCUUAUUCUCUGAGCAUCUACACAGCUUGGAUCAGACAGCCUGCUGGGAAAGGACUGGAGUGGAUUGGGAUGAAAUUUACUGGAAACUCACUGUACAAAGAUUCCCUCAAGAACAAGUUUAGUAUCGACUUAGACACUUACAGUAAAACAGUGACUCUGAACGGACAGAAUAUGCAGCCAGAUGAUUCUGCUGUGUAUUACUGUGGCAGAUGCGACCACAGUGACACAAACCAGCAGCAGAGCUGUACCAUAACGUCUCACAGCCUGAACUUGAAAAACACACCAGAGGUGGAGCUCAGAGACCACUGA
Poecilia reticulata (guppy) is the source of this 432-nucleotide non-coding RNA. Lineage: Eukaryota; Metazoa; Chordata; Actinopteri; Cyprinodontiformes; Poeciliidae. The record is from the annotation of a RefSeq genome assembly.